UCGCCUGUUUUUACAAAAACAUUGCCUCUUGAUAUAAAAUAAAAGGUACAUCCUGCCCAGUGACUAAAUGUUUAACGGCCGCGGUACCCUGACCGUGCUAAGGUAGCAUAAUCAUUUGCCUCUUAAUUAGUGGCUAGUAUGAAUGGACAAACGAGAAUUCCCCUGUCUCUAUAAAGCCAAUGAAAAUUAAUCUUCAGGUGAAGAAGCCUGAAUCUCAUUAAAAGACAAAAAGACCCUAUUGAGCUUACAUUCAAUCUCUAAAAUAUUAAAAUAAAAUAAAACUACCCUUUUUACAAGAAUUUUGCUGGGGCGGCAAAGGAACAACCAAAAAUUCCUUUUCUCAAAGACUUAUAAGUCUAUUAACUGAUCCGUAUUAACGAUUAACAAAACUAGUUACCAUAGGGAUAACAGGCUAAUUUUUCUCUAAAGCUCACAUUAACAGAAAAGAUUGGCACCUCGAUGUUGGCUUAGGAUAUCCUAAGGGCGCAGAAGCCUUUUAAGGUGGGUUUGUUCAACCUUUAAAAUCCUACGUGAUCUGAUUUUCAGACCGGA
RNAcentral lists this ribosomal RNA (552 nucleotides) under Sternaspis sendalli. RNAcentral's name for it is "partial large subunit ribosomal RNA". It matches the Rfam family "Bacterial large subunit ribosomal RNA", at positions 1796 to 2620 of the family's 2925-position model. The record is from RNAcentral. Lineage: Eukaryota; Metazoa; Annelida; Polychaeta; Terebellida; Sternaspidae.